This 427-nucleotide ribosomal RNA is filed under the name uncultured bacterium. RNAcentral's name for it is "bacterial SSU rRNA". It matches the Rfam family "Bacterial small subunit ribosomal RNA", at positions 355 to 796 of the family's 1533-position model. The record is from RNAcentral.
UGGGGAAUUUUGUGCAAUGGGCGAAAGCCUGACACAGCGACACCGCGUGAGCGAAGAAGCCCUUUGGGGUGUAAAGCUCUGUCAGCAGGAACGAAAUAAAUGACGGUACCUGCAGAGGAAGCAUCGGCUAACUACGUGCCAGCAGCCGCGGUAAGACGUAGGAUGCGAGCGUUGUCCGGAUUUAUUGGGCGUAAAGAGUUCGUAGGCGGUUCGUUAAGUCUGAUGUUAAAGAUCGGGGCUCAACCCUGGGAGUGCAUUGGAUACUGGCGGACUGGAGUGCGGUAGAGGCAAGUGGAAUUCCCAGUGUAGCGGUGAAAUGCGUAGAUAUUGGGAAGAACACCGGUGGCGUAGGCGACUAGCUGGGCCGUAACUGACGCUGAGGAACGAAAGCCAGGGGAGCGAAUGGGAUUAGAUACCCCCGUAGUCC